GACGAACGCUGGCGGCGUGCCUAAUACAUGCAAGUCGAGCGGACGAUUCGAAAGCUUGCUUUUGAAUCGUUAGCGGCGGACGGGUGAGUAACACGUGGGCAACCUGCCCUGUAGACGGGGAUAACACCGAGAAAUCGGUGCUAAUACCGGAUAACACGAAAUGUCGCAUGACGUUUCGUUGAAAGGCGGCGCAAGCUGCCGCUACAGGAUGGGCCCGCGGCGCAUUAGCUAGUUGGUGAGGUAACGGCUCACCAAGGCGACGAUGCGUAGCCGACCUGAGAGGGUGAUCGGCCACCCUGGGACUGAGACACGGCCCAGACUCCUACGGGAGGCAGCAGUAGGGAAUCUUCCGCAAUGGACGAAAGUCUGACGGAGCAACGCCGCGUGAGCGAAGAAGGCCUUCGGGUCGUAAAGCUCUGUUGUUAGGGAAGAACAAGUAACGUAGUAACUGACGUUACUAUGACGGUACCUAACGAGAAAGCCACGGCUAACUACGCG
RNAcentral lists this ribosomal RNA (498 nucleotides) under uncultured bacterium. RNAcentral describes it as "partial 16S ribosomal RNA". It matches the Rfam family "Bacterial small subunit ribosomal RNA", at positions 28 to 507 of the family's 1533-position model. The record is from RNAcentral.